CCCUUAGAUGUCCUGGGCCGCACGCGCGCUACACUGAUGCGUUCAACGAGUAUUUCCUUGGCCGAGAGGCCUGGGCAAUCUUUUAAACCUGCAUCGUGAUAGGGAUAGAUUAUUGCAAUUAUUAAUCUUGAACGAGGAAUUCCUAGUAAACGCAAAUCAUCAAUUUGCAUUGAUUACGUCCCUGCCCUUUGUACACACCGCCCGUCGCACCUACCGAUUGAAUGGUCCGGUGAAAUCUCGGGAUUGUGGCCAGUUCACUUUAUUGGGAGUUGGCUGCGAGAACUUGCUUAAACCUUAUCAUUUAGAGGAAGGUGAAGUCGUAACA
Molecule: ribosomal RNA, 325 nt
Filed under: uncultured eukaryote
Lineage: Eukaryota
Description: partial 18S ribosomal RNA
Rfam family: Eukaryotic small subunit ribosomal RNA
Source: RNAcentral